AUUACAUUUUGAUCCUGGCUCAAAACGAACGCUGGCGGCAUGCCUAACACUUGCAAGUCAAACGAGGCCUUUCGGGUUUAAUUGGCGAACGGGGGCGUACCGCGGGGGAAUCUGCCCUUUGGUUCGCACACCAACUGGAAACGGCUGCUAUUACCGGAUGAUGACAAAAGCCCAAAUAUUUUCCGCCAAAGGAGGACCCCCCUUGGGAUUGGGUAGUGGGGGGGGAAAAGGCCGACAAGGCCAAGGAUCCAUAGCGGGUCGAAGAGGAGGAUCGGCCACACCGGAACUGAAACCCGGCCCAAACUCCUACGGGAGGCACCCGUGGGGAAGAUUGAACAAGGGACCCAACCCUGAUCCACCAAUGCCGCAUGAGUGAUGACGGCCCUAG
This 388-nucleotide ribosomal RNA is filed under the name uncultured bacterium. RNAcentral's name for it is "partial 16S ribosomal RNA". It matches the Rfam family "Bacterial small subunit ribosomal RNA", at positions 1 to 420 of the family's 1533-position model. The record is from RNAcentral.